GAGGAUAUAGCUCAGUUGGUAGAGUGCUUGCCUUGCAUGCAGAAGGCCCUGGGUUCAAUCCUCAGCACCACCA
This 73-nucleotide transfer RNA is filed under the name Ictidomys tridecemlineatus (thirteen-lined ground squirrel). Its description in RNAcentral is "Spermophilus tridecemlineatus (thirteen-lined ground squirrel) tRNA". It matches the Rfam family "tRNA". From Rfam's summary of the family: Transfer RNA (tRNA) molecules are approximately 80 nucleotides in length. Their secondary structure includes four short double-helical elements and three loops (D, anti-codon, and T loops). Lineage: Eukaryota; Metazoa; Chordata; Mammalia; Rodentia; Sciuridae. The record is from Rfam by way of RNAcentral. RNAcentral also lists the same sequence under 1 other name.